GAAAACUUAUUCAAAUACUGUGAGCCUCCACUGUCCCAAACUGUAAAGGAGGGAUAGGAAAGUCACAGGACUACUGCAGAAACAAGUGUGAGUAGAUCACCAGAGGGUCAAUUAAUUCUCUUCCUUUUCCUCUUCUGUAGAAGGAAAACAAACCUUCAAAGGAAGAAAUGCAAGUGCUUCCCCACCACACCAUGUACACUCAGGCACUCCAGGAGUUAAAUCUGUCAAAUGUGUCAUGGUUAAAUCUUAUGGCCUUAGUUACUAAACAGACACAUUUGAUAUCUUCCACCUCUUUUUCCCCAGGUUUCUGAAGAACAUUGCACAGAAACAGGAAGACAGCCCAAUGCAGGUCAUCCUAAGAAAGAGAGUGGGAGCAAGGGCCCAGGUGGAGAAGAAGAGGUGAAGGAAAGCCUGCUUACCUACCUACCUAAUCAGCCCCGUCAGGCGCCACUGUACUCUGAGCAAAGACAACAUCUAUGCAAAGCUGCUCUGAGGGCAGUGUGGCAGACUGGCAGCUCCCACUCUGCCAGCCUGUCCUUCAUCUUCAGCUCUUCAGAGCUGCUGUCUCGAACCCACCAUCAACGCAGCUACUAGUGUCCUCAGUCUCCAUAGCUUCCAUCCCCCGUCCACCCCACGCCACCCCUAAGCGCGACCGGAUAAAAAUGGCAAGUGGGUAAAAAGAAAAUGAGCCCCGUACAUCCUUGCAGCCGGUGUUCACUGGGAUUCUUCUGCAGGCCCCGCCCUGCAGCUACUGGCAGCCGCCACCACCCCGGACCCAGUAGAUAGGCUCUGAAAAGGCUUUCCUGAGCUUUGGGUUCGGAGGUUGAACUGGAGACGGGCACACACACACGCACACACACACGUAUGGGGUCUUCGACUCCUAAAGAGCAAGAUGCGAGGACACCUUGGAAUUAACAGGUAAUAGAUCAAGAAUUUAAAAGUGGAGGCCAGAAUGUUUGAAUGCACAGAUUUCCUGCUGGCGUCAACAGUGAACAGAACUAAGAGAGGAAGCAUAAAUGCAACAAUACACUUCUUUCUGAAUUGCCUUUCAAAAGGGGUCAACCUCUUUCUUCAGUCACUCCUAUCAUUGUCCAAUGGGCUCAUGAACAAAGUGACCAUGGUGGCAGAGAUGGAGGUUAUGCCUGGGCUCAACAACAUGGACUCCCACUCACCAAAGCUAAUCUGGCUACAGCCACUGCUGAAUGCCCAAUAUGCUAGCAGCAGAGGUCAGUAUUGAGUCACCAACUUGGCAGCAGGUUGAUUAUGCUGAAUUGCUUCCAUAUUGCAAAGGACAGUGCUUUGUGCUUACUGGCAGAGACACUUAUUCUGGAUAUGGACUUGCCUUCCCUGUAUGUGAUGUUUCUGCCAAAUCCACCAUCCAUGAACUUACAGAAUGCCUUAUCCACCAUCAUGGAAUAAGAAACACAUUUUACAGCCAGAGAAAUCAGGCAGUGGGCUCAUGCUCAUGGAAUUCAUUGGUCUUACCAU
Molecule: long non-coding RNA, 1488 nt
Organism: Heterocephalus glaber (naked mole-rat)
Lineage: Eukaryota; Metazoa; Chordata; Mammalia; Rodentia; Bathyergidae
Source: RefSeq, a predicted model, not a curated record